GUGAGGAAUAUUGGGCAAUGCCCGAAAGGGUGACCCAGCAACGCCGCGUGGAGGAUGAAGGUCGUAAGAUUGUAAACUCCUGUUAGAGGGGAAGAAUAACUAAGUUUGGAGCUUAGUAUGACUGUACCCUCAGAGAAAGCCCCGGCUAACUACGUGCCAGCAGCCGCGGUAAUACGUAGGGGGCAAGCGUUGUCCGGAUUUACUGGGUGUAAAGGGCGCGCAGGCGGAAUGGAAAGUCAGUGGUGAAAUCCUACAGCUUAACUGUAGAACUGCCUUUGAUACUUUCAUUCUUGAGUUCGGGAGAGAGAGACGGAAUUCCAGGUGUAGUGGUGAAAUACGUAGAUAUCUGGAAGAACACCAGUUGCGAAGGCGGUCUCUUGGUCCGAUACUGACGCUGAGGCGCGAAAGCGUGGGGAGCAAACAGGAUUAGAUACCCGGGUAGUCC
This 445-nucleotide ribosomal RNA is filed under the name uncultured bacterium. RNAcentral's name for it is "bacterial SSU rRNA". It matches the Rfam family "Bacterial small subunit ribosomal RNA", at positions 354 to 796 of the family's 1533-position model. The record is from RNAcentral.